RNAcentral lists this long non-coding RNA (2130 nucleotides) under Mus musculus (house mouse). RNAcentral describes it as "long non-coding RNA chr1:181166854-181168984". The record is from RNAcentral. Lineage: Eukaryota; Metazoa; Chordata; Mammalia; Rodentia; Muridae.
GGCUUUUCAGCUAUGACUUUCAGUAGUAAUGACAUUUUAAAAUAUAUUUAUUUGCAGUAUUUGAAACCUUAUGAGCCAUGUGCCCAAAUACAAUGUAAUUCCUGCUUCCAGAAAGGAAAAAUACAUUUUAAAAUCAAGAUUUUAUUAAGAGCUUUCAUUUUAAAGCUUGUACCUCUGUAAUGAUCCUCCCCACCUCCCUCUAAUCACCUCAGCUCUUGCCAGACCUUAUUUUUGCAUCAUAACUGUUCCAUUUGUAUUUGAUUUCUUUAAUAAUAUAUUUUAAUGGAUUUGGAGAGGUGACUAGGUAGAAGUCACUGAGAAUCAGGAAACCAGUCAGUCACUGUUAGAAAAACAACGCAAGAGCAGCCCGCGAGUGCUCACUUGGUGCAGAAUUCGCUGCAGCACUGACCACUCUGGACGGGGAGGGAGCCCAGCACAAGCCGUUGCAUGCAGUACCCAGCGACUCUGGAAGCUCCUGCUCUGUAUGAGAGGGCGCCAUUAACCUAGUCUGUGCUCAUCAUAUCUUGCAGGGUGGUGUGAAUCUGGCAAUCCAACCUCUUUCCUAGUUACACUUUAGGGUUGGUAUCCUAAGCACUGACACAUAAGGAAACAGGACUGUACACUGUGGCAUAAUGGACCUUGGCAGCAAAACAAAGUGUGUGCUUCCCCAGAAGAUUAAAUUUUUAAAUGUUGCAUGUCUCUGUUUUUUUAAUUUUUUUUCAUUUGUUUAUUUUAUGUAUAUGAGUACACUGUCCUUGUCUUCAGACGCACCAGAAGAGGGCAUCAGAUCCCUCUUUUGAGCCACCAUGUGGUUGCUGGGAAUUGAACUCAGGAUCUCCGGAAGAGCAGUCGGUGCUCUUAACCACUGAGCCAUCUCUCCAGCCAUCUAAAUGUCGCCUGUCUGAUUGAGUGAGGAGUUGGUAGCAGUAAGUGCCAGGACACUGAGUCCCCUGUUAGAGUGGGAGCUGUGCUCUGACCAAACAGGAAAAGAGGGUUGGGAGGGCAUGCAAAGGAAACCUGGUUCCCUGGGCCUCUGUAAAAGCCGGGAAAUGCUACCUAUAAUAAUCUUAUGUUUCUGCCUAGAAAAGGGCUAAGCAGCUGCACCAUGGGAGUUACUUUAUACUUCCUCCUACUGUUUCCCUGUAGGGCACCUUCUGCUUCACUCUACCUUCCAGUGCCCUCACCGUUAUUCAAGCUUUUCAAACAGACCUGCUGUUGGCUUCAUAGAACUGGGAGACACAAUGGAGGGCUUUUGUCUAGAAUGUUUGAGCUUAAACUGAAAGCCAUGGAACUAAGCACCUUUGGGCUGUCUUGUUGGGCCUAAGCUGCAGAGGAGGACUGACUGAGAAAGCUGCCUUGUCUAUAAAGACCCAGCUUAACUCUGAAACACUAGUUAUGAAUGGACACCUAUUCCUCAUACUGCUUGUGUGUAUCAAAGCCAGGAAAGGAGAGAGUCAUUUUUCUGGGGUUUUUGGAGGUAGGAGGGAUGCUUUUAUAAAUGCUGAAGAAGAGGAUGUGUGGCCUAAGUGGCUACGGCUCUGAAGCUUGAGGUGCUGCUGUAUGGUGAUGAGGGUGUUUGCAGAGGAGCUGUGAGAUCUGAGAGGGGGGGGGAGGGGGGAAUGACUAGAGGUUGUCAGAGUUCUCAAAGAUCUGAACAUUGGGAGCUCAGCUCGGUGUCCUCUUGUGCUCUCUUCCUGCCUGCCCUCUGUAAAGGCUCUAAGGUUGAAGGCCUGGCCAGUGCAGCCUGCUGUGGAAUGCAGCCACAUUGUGUCAUGUUUCCUUAGGCUUUUAACUGUAGCAGAUGCCUUGUGUCUAGAGCUGAGGAAGCAAAGCCCAAGAUGCGGCACCCCCCCACCCCCACCCCCACACACACAUCUAACAUGUCUCUUCACAAGAAGACAAUGUAGCAAGAGCCCAGAGGCUUCCUUCUGACCUGCUCUGACUUUAAACCUCUGUACUGUUUCCUGUGGGAAGUACUCGCCACUUUCCAUGUGGCAUCUCUUGUAUGCAAACUAGAUUGUGCGCUCCUAGAGGGCAGAGUCCACUCUGAUCACGUUUGUGUUGUCUUCCUUACCCUUCUGGCGCCUAAUACAGUGCCUUGCACACAGACACAAUAAAUGGCAGUUGAAU